GACAUGAACAUGCUUGUGCGGGACCCUUAUAAAAGCGUCUUCUCUCCUCAGGUCAGCAACAAGCUCACCUCAAAGCUCAGGAGAGACACCUGAACCCAGCGUCAUUCUCUGACUCUCUAGAUUUCAGCAGGAACAAUGGCCAACAUUGGUAAUACCACGGACGUAAAGUUGGGCUCCAACACAGGGAACGUUGGUUCCAAAAAUACCUUCGGCAUUCAAGGAGGUGUUGGACCCAAUGCUUCUGUGGGCAACACCACUGGCGUCACUGUCGGAGGAAAUAAUUCAGGAAACAUUGGAUCAGGCAACGCAUUUGAUAUAAAAGG
Perca fluviatilis (European perch) is the source of this 323-nucleotide long non-coding RNA. RefSeq lists it as uncharacterized. The transcript is spliced from 3 exons. NCBI's taxonomy places the organism in Eukaryota, Metazoa, Chordata, Actinopteri, Perciformes, Percidae. The record is from RefSeq and is a predicted model, not a curated record.